AAGUCGUAACAAGGUUUCCGUAGGUGAACCUGCGGAAGGCGUGAGGGUCAACGACCUGAGUAAGUAUCAGUUAUCCUUUCGGAGACCAAGUCUAUUUGCUCUACCGCUCCAUCCACACGUCUUGAAGAAGUCUCUGAAUCAAACUGUCGUUGUGAUUUACCAGAGAUUGCUUGUUGAGGUGAGGAGAGCAGGGUUAAAAUGCACGGGGUUUUUAACGUUGGAUACGUGUUAAUGAUGUCAACGGACAGGUCUCUGGGGCUUCGGCUCCCCAUAUUAAACCCGUAUGUGAAAGUCGGGCUUGCAAACUACAGGCCCACAAAACGAACAACUGUUAACAAUGGAUAUCUUGGUUCUC
RNAcentral lists this unclassified non-coding RNA (355 nucleotides) under fungal sp. RNAcentral describes it as "partial internal transcribed spacer region". The record is from RNAcentral. Lineage: Eukaryota; Fungi.